GGGUGAGACCUGAUGCCGAGCCGAUUGUGGUGAAGUGGAUGAUCCUAUGCUGUCGAGAAAAGCCUCUAGCGAUGUUUCAUGGCGGCCCGUACCCUAAACCGACUCAGGUGGUCAGGUAGAGUAUACCGAGGCGUUCGGGUGAACUAUGGUUAAGGAACUCGGCAAAAUGCCCCCGUAACUUCGGGAGAAGGGGGGCCGCUUCCGGUGAUCCGUUUUACACGGGGAGCUGGGGGUGGCCGCAGAGACCAGCGAGAAGCGACUGUUUACUAAAAACACAGGUCCGUGCGAAGCUGUAAGGCGAUGUAUACGGACUGACGCCUGCCCGGUGCUGGAACGUUAAGGGGACCGGUUAGUCACUCUUCGGGGUGGCGAAGCUGAGAACUUAAGCGCCAGUAAACGGCGGUGGUAACUAUAACCAUCCUAAGGUAGCGAAAUUCCUUGUCGGGUAAGUUCCGACCUGCACGAAUGGCGUAACGACUUCUCGACUGUCUCAACCAUAGGCCCGGUGAAAUUGCAUUACGAGUAAAGAUGCUCGUUUCGCGCAGCAGGACGGAAAGACCCCGGGACCUUUACUAUAGCUUGAUAUUGGUGUUCGGUUCGGCUUGUGUAGGAUAGGUGGGAGACUGUGAAGCGGCCACGCCAGUGGUUGUGGAGUCGUCGUUGAAAUACCACUCUGGUCGUGUUGGAUGUCUAACCUGGGUCCGUGAUCCGGAUCGGGGACAGUGUCUGGUGGGUAGUUUAACUGGGGCGGUUGCCUCCUAAAGAGUAACGGAGGCGCCCAAAGGUUCCCUCAGCCUGGUUGGUCAUCAGGUGGUGAGUGUAAGUGCACAAGGGAGCUUGACUGCGAGACUGACGGGUCGAGCAGGUGCGAAAGCAGGGACUAGUGAUCCGGCGGUGGCUUGUGGGAGCGCCGUCGCUCAACGGAUAAAAGGUACCCCGGGGAUAACAGGCUGAUCUUCCCCAAGAGUCCAUAUCGACGGGAUGGUUUGGCACCUCGAUGUCGGCUCGUCGCAUCCUGGGGCUGGAGUCGGUCCCAAGGG
This 1040-nucleotide ribosomal RNA is filed under the name Streptomyces sp. CNQ-525. RNAcentral's name for it is "bacterial LSU rRNA". It matches the Rfam family "Bacterial large subunit ribosomal RNA", at positions 1554 to 2571 of the family's 2925-position model. Lineage: Bacteria; Bacillati; Actinomycetota; Actinomycetes; Kitasatosporales; Streptomycetaceae. The record is from RNAcentral.